GGUGGUUCAGUGGGCAAAACACAGGACUUGCAAGCAUGAGACCCUGGGUUCAAUCCCCAGCACCA
This 65-nucleotide transfer RNA is filed under the name Erinaceus europaeus (western European hedgehog). It matches the Rfam family "tRNA". From Rfam's summary of the family: Transfer RNA (tRNA) molecules are approximately 80 nucleotides in length. Their secondary structure includes four short double-helical elements and three loops (D, anti-codon, and T loops). Lineage: Eukaryota; Metazoa; Chordata; Mammalia; Eulipotyphla; Erinaceidae. The record is from Rfam by way of RNAcentral.